Molecule: non-coding RNA, 109 nt
Filed under: Methylobacterium symbioticum
Lineage: Bacteria; Pseudomonadati; Pseudomonadota; Alphaproteobacteria; Hyphomicrobiales; Methylobacteriaceae
Description: TPP riboswitch aptamer (THI element)
Rfam family: TPP riboswitch aptamer (THI element)
About the family: Vitamin B(1) in its active form thiamin pyrophosphate (TPP) is an essential coenzyme that is synthesised by coupling of pyrimidine and thiazole moieties in bacteria. The previously detected thiamin-regulatory element, thi box was extended, resulting in a new, highly conserved RNA secondary structure, the THI element, which is widely distributed in eubacteria and also occurs in some archaea.
Source: Rfam by way of RNAcentral
CGCCGUUCCGAGGGGGGCCCCAAGACAGGGGGCUGAGAUUGGGCCUGAUGCCCUGACCCUUGAACCUGAUCCGGCUCGUACCGGCGGAGGGACGGGAACCUGCGGCCUG